Callithrix jacchus (white-tufted-ear marmoset) is the source of this 164-nucleotide small nuclear RNA. Its record names the gene U1. It matches the Rfam family "U1 spliceosomal RNA". From Rfam's summary of the family: U1 is a small nuclear RNA (snRNA) component of the spliceosome (involved in pre-mRNA splicing). Its 5' end forms complementary base pairs with the 5' splice junction, thus defining the 5' donor site of an intron. The record is from Ensembl. Lineage: Eukaryota; Metazoa; Chordata; Mammalia; Primates; Cebidae.
AUACUUACCUGGCAGGGAAGAUACCAUGAUCAUGAAGGUGGUUUUCCCAGGGCAAAGCUUAUCCAUUGCACUCCAGAUGUGCUGACCCCUGCAAUUUCUCCAAGUAUGGGAAACUCGGCUGCAUAAUUUGUGGUAAUGGGGGACUACGUUUGUCCUUUCCCCGA